Molecule: ribosomal RNA, 54 nt
Filed under: Nigrospora oryzae
Lineage: Eukaryota; Fungi; Ascomycota; Sordariomycetes; Amphisphaeriales; Apiosporaceae
Description: partial 28S ribosomal RNA
Source: RNAcentral
GCCGUAAAACCCCCCAUUUUUUCUGGUUGACCUCGGAUCAGGUAGGAAUACCCG